UACGUAGGGUGCGAGCGUUGUCCGGAAUUACUGGGCGUAAAGAGCUCGUAGGUGGUUUGUCGCGUUGUUCGUGAAAACCGGGGGCUUAACCCUCGGCGUGCGGGCGAUACGGGCAGACUUGAGUACUGCAGGGGAGACUGGAAUUCCUGGUGUAGCGGUGAAAUGCGCAGAUAUCGGGAGGAACACCGGUGGCGAAGGCGGUUCUCUGGGCCUGUACUGACGCUGAGGAGCGAAAGCGUGGGGAGCGAACAGG
This 253-nucleotide ribosomal RNA is filed under the name uncultured bacterium. Its description in RNAcentral is "partial 16S ribosomal RNA". It matches the Rfam family "Bacterial small subunit ribosomal RNA", at positions 524 to 776 of the family's 1533-position model. The record is from RNAcentral.